RNAcentral lists this transfer RNA (76 nucleotides) under Rhodoblastus acidophilus. Its description in RNAcentral is "tRNA-Trp". It matches the Rfam family "tRNA". Rfam says of the family: Transfer RNA (tRNA) molecules are approximately 80 nucleotides in length. Their secondary structure includes four short double-helical elements and three loops (D, anti-codon, and T loops). RNAcentral also lists the same sequence under 6 other names. The record is from RNAcentral. Lineage: Bacteria; Pseudomonadati; Pseudomonadota; Alphaproteobacteria; Hyphomicrobiales; Rhodoblastaceae.
AGGAGUGUAGCUCAGUUGGUAGAGCACCGGUCUCCAAAACCGGGUGUCGUCGGUUCGAGCCCGGCCACUCCUGCCA